This 496-nucleotide ribosomal RNA is filed under the name uncultured bacterium. RNAcentral's name for it is "partial 16S ribosomal RNA". It matches the Rfam family "Bacterial small subunit ribosomal RNA", at positions 28 to 507 of the family's 1533-position model. The record is from RNAcentral.
GAUGAACGCUGGCGGCGUGCCUAAUACAUGCAAGUCGAGCGAACAGAUAAGGAGCUUGCUCCCUUGACGUUAGCGGCGGACGGGUGAGUAACACGUGGGUAACCUACCUAUAAGACUGGAAUAACUCCGGGAAACCGGGGCUAAUGCCGGAUAACAUUUAGAACCGCAUGGUUCUAAAGUGAAAGAUGGUUUUGCUAUCACUUAUAGAUGGACCCGCGCCGUAUUAGCUAGUUGGUAAGGUAACGGCUUACCAAGGCAACGAUACGUAGCCGACCUGAGAGGUGAUCGGCCACACUGGAACUGAGACACGGUCCAGACUCCUACGGGAGGCAGCAGUAGGGAAUCUUCCGCAAUGGGCGAAAGCCUGACGGAGCAACGCCGCGUGAGUGAUGAAGGUCUUCGGAUCGUAAAACUCUGUUAUUAGGGAAGAACAAAUGUGUAAGUAACUGUGCACGUCUUGACGGUACCUAAUCAGAAAGCCACGGCUAACUACGUG